GAUGAAAUGCGCUCAGUGGUAGAGCAUGCGAUUGCAAUUAACCAGGCGAUAUCGUGAGGUCCCGUGUUCGAACCACGGUAGCAACU
This is a non-coding RNA of Mycena metata, 86 nucleotides long. NCBI's taxonomy places the organism in Eukaryota, Fungi, Basidiomycota, Agaricomycetes, Agaricales, Mycenaceae. The record is from the annotation of a GenBank genome assembly.